UCGUAACAAGGUUUCCGUAGGUGAACCUGCGGAAGGAUCAUUACCGAGUUAGGGUGUCGCCUCGGCACGCCCGACCUCCCAACCCUUUGUCUACCUUACCACACCGUUGCUUCGGCAGGCCGCGCCGACCCCCGGGGAUUCGUCCCUGGGGCGAGGCCGUCGGGGGCCCUCGCGCCCCGGGCUCGCGCCUGUCGAUGGCCACUAUCAAACUCAUGUCUAAACGUGUCGUCUGAGUAAAAUAUUAAAUACAAACCAAAACUUUCAACAACGGAUCUCUUGGUUCUGGCAUCGAUGAAGAACGCAGCGAAAUGCGAUAAGUAAUGCGAAUUGCAGAAUCCGUGAGUCAUCGAAUCUUUGAACGCACAUUGCGCCCUUUGGUAUUCCGAAGGGCAUGCCUGUUCGAGCGUCAUUAUCACCCCUCAAGCCCGGCUUGCUGUUGGUGGUGGCGCGGCCCCCUCCCGGGCCGCCGCCCCGCCCAAAGAUAAUGACGGCGUCUGUGAGGACUCCUGUACACUGAGCUUUCGGGCACGUACACGGUUAGAAAUUCAGACGCCGGUCGCCGCCUUCCCCCCGGGGGAGGCACACCUUUUAUACCAAGGUUGACCUCGGAUCAGGUAGGGAUACCCGCUGAACUUAAGCAUAUCAAUAA
Molecule: unclassified non-coding RNA, 649 nt
Filed under: Cyphellophora sessilis
Lineage: Eukaryota; Fungi; Ascomycota; Eurotiomycetes; Chaetothyriales; Cyphellophoraceae
Description: sequence contains 18S rRNA gene, ITS1, 5.8S rRNA gene, ITS2, 28S rRNA gene
Rfam family: 5.8S ribosomal RNA (bases 257-409)
Source: RNAcentral